This 97-nucleotide transfer RNA is filed under the name Evansella sp. LMS18. RNAcentral's name for it is "tRNA-Sec". It matches the Rfam family "Selenocysteine transfer RNA". Lineage: Bacteria; Bacillati; Bacillota; Bacilli; Caryophanales; Bacillaceae. The record is from RNAcentral.
GGGGCCGGAUGUGUAGCUGGUGCUUGCCGAGGUCUUCAAAACCUUCUGGGAGGCGCGUGACGUCUCCGGUGGGUUCGAUUCCCACACGGUCCCGCCA